GGAUUAGAUACCCUGGUAGUCCACGCCAUAAACGAUGGAUACUUGUUGUUGGAGGUUUUGACCCCUUCAGUGACGAAGCUAACGCGUUAAGUAUCCCGCCUGGGGAGUACGGUCGCAAGAUUAAAACUCAAAGAAAUUGACGGGGGCCCGCACAAGCGGUGGAGUAUGUGGUUUAAUUCGAUGCAACGCGCAAAACCUUACCUAGGCUUGACAUGGACAGGAAGAGUGGCAGAAACGCUCUCGCCCGCAAGGGCCUGUUCACAGGUGCUGCAUGGCUGUCGUCAGCUCGUGCCG
This 294-nucleotide ribosomal RNA is filed under the name uncultured bacterium. RNAcentral's name for it is "partial 16S ribosomal RNA". It matches the Rfam family "Bacterial small subunit ribosomal RNA", at positions 775 to 1067 of the family's 1533-position model. The record is from RNAcentral.